UACGUAGGGUGCGAGCGUUAAUCGGAAUUACUGGGCGUAAAGGGUGCGCAGGCGGUUCCGCCAGUCAGGCGUGAAAUCCCCGGGCUUAACCUGGGAAUGGCGCUUGAAACUACGGGACUGGAGUAUGGCAGAGGGGGGUGGAAUGCCACGUGUAGCAGUGAAAUGCGUAGAGAUGUGGCGGAACACCGAUGGCGAAGGCAGCCCCCUGGGCUGAGAUUGACGCUCAGGCGCGAAAGCGUGGGGAGCAAACAGG
Molecule: ribosomal RNA, 253 nt
Filed under: uncultured bacterium
Lineage: Bacteria
Description: partial 16S ribosomal RNA
Rfam family: Bacterial small subunit ribosomal RNA
Source: RNAcentral